Non-coding RNA from Pelobates cultripes (western spadefoot toad), 886 nucleotides. The record is from the annotation of a GenBank genome assembly. Lineage: Eukaryota; Metazoa; Chordata; Amphibia; Anura; Pelobatidae.
AGAGUGUGUAUAGGAGAUUGUGUGUGUGUGUGUGUAAAGAGGAUUCAGAGUGUAUAUAGGGUAAGGGAUAUAGCGUGUAUCUGGAGCAUAAUGUGUGUAGUGGUACAGUAUGAGGGGUGUUCUUAUCUACUGUCACAUUUUAUGUUUCUAAUUUUUUUGUCUGUUAACUUACUUAGGGUUGUUUUGUAUAUUAUACAUACGUGUGUGUGUGUGUGUGUGUGUGUGUGUGUGCUGUAUAUGUGUGAGAGUGUGUUGUAUGACUGAGGGUGAUGUGUGUGUGUGAGGGUGCGUGUGUAUCUAAGAGUGUCUGAGUCUGAGUGUGCUGUUUGUAUGAGUGUGCUGUGUGUGUCUGAGGGUGCUGUGUGAGUGAGGGUGCUGUCUGUGUCUGAGGGUUGUGUGUGAGUUAGGGUGCUGUGUGUGUCUGAGGGUGCUGUGUGAGUUAGGGUGCUGUGUGCGUGUGUGAGGGUGCUGUCUGUCUGUGUGUGUGUGUGUGUGUGUAUGUGUGUGUGUGUGGGUGCUGUCUGUGUCUGAGGGUGUUGUGUAAGUGAGGGUGCUGUCCGUGUCUGAGAGUGCUGUUUGUGUGAGUGUGCUGUGUGUGUCUGAGGGUGCUGUCUGAGAGUGCUUGUUACGAUUGCCUCCGGUCUAGCAGGAGGUUGGAUUACUUGGAUGUCCUGGUUCCCGAAGUCAGAGAGUCGAACGAGAUUCCAUUCAGUAGAAACCUGUAAAUGUAGAGUAUCCCACUAGCUGGAGCAACGCUAGGAUUCCCGGAUCCCUACAACACAAGUCGAGGCUGCGAGUUGAGGGUAAAACGAACUGGCUUUACUGGCACACAAGCAUGGCAAUUUAUGCAAGUCCCCAGGUCCAGGGACAGCCCCCCAUGGACCUG